GAUUUUGGAUGAACCAUUAGCUUUGUUUCUCUCCUGACAUUAAUAUAUUAAUUCAGAUAUUAAUGCUUCUUUUCCUCUCUAUAUGGAUUCUGAAGUUUGGCUAUUAUGUUACAUGC
Molecule: small nucleolar RNA, 116 nt
Organism: Raphanus sativus (radish)
Lineage: Eukaryota; Viridiplantae; Streptophyta; Magnoliopsida; Brassicales; Brassicaceae
Source: RefSeq, a predicted model, not a curated record